UCUUCUUUACCAUAACCGGAUCUGUGUCCAGAUUUCCUGUCCAUGGGCUCCAGUCUGACUGGUUUCUGUGUGAUGGUUGAGAGCUGGGCAUUUCGACGAGCUUGGAGCCAUCAUUUUUUGCGUGGAUGGCCUUUACGGUUUCCGGUCGACAGAUCUCAGAAUAAUUGUCUGUGCCUUGUGAUGCGGGUCUUGAGCUCCCACUGGUGAGCUCGGCUUGACAGCUUGGUUUCGGACGGCGUCAUAUUUCAUAUCUCUUUGCCGAUUGGCCGUUGGCCGCUGAGGUUAGGGAAUAACCAUGACUUGCCAACAUCU
This is a small RNA of Penicillium coprophilum, 312 nucleotides long. It matches the Rfam family "A. fumigatus sRNA Afu_309". The record is from Rfam. Lineage: Eukaryota; Fungi; Ascomycota; Eurotiomycetes; Eurotiales; Aspergillaceae.